Long non-coding RNA from Polypterus senegalus (gray bichir), 650 nucleotides. RefSeq lists it as uncharacterized. The transcript is spliced from 5 exons. Lineage: Eukaryota; Metazoa; Chordata; Cladistia; Polypteriformes; Polypteridae. The record is from RefSeq and is a predicted model, not a curated record.
AUCACCUGUAGAGCGCGGUCGGCGCGUUCAAGGGCUGCUAGACAGCGACGGCAGCAGGCAGACAACGAGCUUUCAGGAGGCAGUCCUAUUUAUAUGCCAAGUUUAUUUUUUGUUCCGCAUUGCCCCUAAGGAUGUUUGCUGAUGUUAAAAAACCGACACUCCGCUCUUCUUCUACCCGAAGUUGGGCUGCGUAGGUAGACGUCAGAUUUCAGCACCAGAAAAUGGACAGCUCUCCAUCUGUGAGGAAGCCUCAAGACCCUCUGAAGAUGUUCGGACUUUCUGCUCUUGACCACGGAUCUUGGAUCAGCUGGAGAUAAUUACUACUCAUCCAUUCAGAAAUACAAAUAAGGGAUUGGAUCAGAGAGGCCAGAGCAUCAGGGUCAUCCGACAUGAUAGCAGCGGUGACUCUGGAAAAUUCCUGUCACUUCACCUUCCUCAUCAGACUAACUCUGCCACUUCCAGUCCUCCUAAAAUAUAUCCCUGAAGGAUGACCCGGAACUUGUCGAGAGACCAGAUAGUGACAGUGGCUCACCAGAGUGAUGGAAACACAAACUUUCAAAGAUGAAUAUUUUGUUCCCUUGGUUUUUUGUUUUUCAUUUGCUUAACAGCAUUAAAUGGGAUCAGUCCAUCUUGGACCCCCACACUCUCCA